AAUGAACGUUGGCGGCGUGGAUUAGGCAUGCAAGUCGAACGGGCCCGGUCCUCGGAUCGGGCCAGUGGCGGAAGGGUGAGUAAGGCGACGGUAACCAACCCCAUGGUCGGGUAUAGCCGCGGGAAACUGCGGGUAAUCCCCAGCGACGUGCGGGGCCGGCAUCGGCCCCUCACCAAAGCCCAGGCGCCGUGGGACGGGCCGUCGUGGUAUUAGCUAGUUGGCGGGGUAACGGCCCACCAAGGCUGUGAUGCCUACCGGGCGUGCGAGCGUGGCCCGGCACACUGGGACUGAGACACUGCCCAGACUCCUACGGGAGGCUGCAGUCGAGAAUCUUCGGCAAUGGGCGCAAGCCUGACCGAGCGACGCCGCGUGGAGGAUGAAGGCCUUCGGGUUGUAAACUCCUGUCGAGGGGGAGGAAGGGGUAACCUUGACCGAUCCCUGGAGGAAGCACGGGCUAAGUUCGUGCCAGCCGCCGCAGUAA
RNAcentral lists this ribosomal RNA (481 nucleotides) under uncultured bacterium. RNAcentral's name for it is "bacterial SSU rRNA". It matches the Rfam family "Bacterial small subunit ribosomal RNA", at positions 28 to 523 of the family's 1533-position model. The record is from RNAcentral.